GUGGGGAAUAUUGCACAAUGGGGGAAACCCUGAUGCAGCGACGCCGCGUGAGUGAGGAAGUAUUUCGGUAUGUAAAGCUCUAUCAGCAGGGAAGAAAAUGACGGUACCUGACUAAGAAGCCCCGGCUAACUACGUGCCAGCAGCCGCGGUAAUACGUAGGGGGCAAGCGUUAUCCGGAUUUACUGGGUGUAAAGGGAGCGUAGACGGACAUGCAAGUCUGAUGUGAAAAUCCGGGGCCCAACCCCGGAAUUGCAUUGGAAACUGUGUGCCUGGAGUGUCGGAGAGGCAAGUGGAAUUCCUGGUGUAGCGGUGAAAUGCGUAGAUAUCAGGAGGAACACCAGUGGCGAAGGCGGCUUGCUGGACGAUGACUGACGUUGAGGCUCGAAAGCGUGGGGAGCAAACAGGAUUAGAAACCCUAGUAGUCC
RNAcentral lists this ribosomal RNA (425 nucleotides) under uncultured bacterium. RNAcentral's name for it is "bacterial SSU rRNA". It matches the Rfam family "Bacterial small subunit ribosomal RNA", at positions 354 to 796 of the family's 1533-position model. The record is from RNAcentral.